UGCAACCCGACUCCACGAAGCUGGAUUCGCUAGUAAUCGCGCAUCAGCCACGGCGCGGUGAAUACGUUCCCGGGCCUUGUACACACCGCCCGUCAAGCCAUGGGAGCCGGGGGUACCUGAAGUGCGUAACCGCGAGGAGCGCCCUAGGGUAAAACUGGUGACUGGGGCUAAGUCGUAACAAGGUACC
This 187-nucleotide ribosomal RNA is filed under the name uncultured bacterium. Its description in RNAcentral is "partial 16S ribosomal RNA". It matches the Rfam family "Bacterial small subunit ribosomal RNA", at positions 1306 to 1500 of the family's 1533-position model. The record is from RNAcentral.